This 374-nucleotide ribosomal RNA is filed under the name uncultured bacterium. RNAcentral describes it as "bacterial SSU rRNA". It matches the Rfam family "Bacterial small subunit ribosomal RNA", at positions 32 to 390 of the family's 1533-position model. The record is from RNAcentral.
AAUCAACGCUGGCGGCGUGCCUAACACAUGCAAGUCGAACGCGAAAGUCCCGCAAGGGAUUAGUAGAGUGGCAAACGGGUGAGUAACACGUGGGUGACCUGCCUUCGAGUGGGGGAUAACGUCCCGAAAGGGACGCUAAUACCGCAUAACAUCCUGCCUUUGAAGAGGUGGAGAUCAAAGCUGGGGACCGCAAGGCCUGGCGCUGGAAGAGGGGCCCGCGUCUGAUUAGCAGUUGGUGAGGUAACGGCUCACCAAGGCAACGAUCAGUAUCCGGCCUGAGAGGGCGGACGGUCACACUGACACUGAAUAACGGGUCAGACUCCUACGGGAGGCAGCAGUCGGGAAUUUUGGGCAAUGGGCGAAAGCCUGACCCA